Molecule: ribosomal RNA, 492 nt
Filed under: uncultured bacterium
Lineage: Bacteria
Description: partial 16S ribosomal RNA
Rfam family: Bacterial small subunit ribosomal RNA
Source: RNAcentral
AGUGAACGCUGGCGGUAGGCCUAACACAUGCAAGUCGAACGGCAGCACAGUAAGAGCUUGCUCUUACGGGUGGCGAGUGGCGGACGGGUGAGGAAUACAUCGGAAUCUACUUUUUCGUGGGGGAUAACGUAGGGAAACUUACGCUAAUACCGCAUACGACCUACGGGUGAAAGCAGGGGAUCUUCGGACCUUGCGCGAUUGAAUGGGCCGAUGUCGGAUUAGCUAGUUGGCGGGGUAAAGGCCUACCAAGGCGACGAUCCGUAGCUGGUCUGAGAGGAUGAUCAGCCACACUGGAACUGAGACACGGUCCAGACUCCUACGGGAGGCAGCAGUGGGGAAUAUUGGACAAUGGGCGCAAGCCUGAUCCAGCCAUACCGCGUGGGUGAAGAAGGCCUUCGGGUUGUAAAGCCCUUUUGUUGGGAAAGAAAAGCAGCAGGUUAAUACCCCGCUGUUCUGACGGUACCCAAAGAAUAAGCACCGGCUAACUUCGUG